GCACCUGAGGCUCAAAGGAGUAGGGCGCCAGCCUUCUAUGCUGGAGGUGGCAGGUUCAAACCCAGCCAUGGCCA
RNAcentral lists this transfer RNA (74 nucleotides) under Otolemur garnettii (small-eared galago). It matches the Rfam family "tRNA". Rfam says of the family: Transfer RNA (tRNA) molecules are approximately 80 nucleotides in length. Their secondary structure includes four short double-helical elements and three loops (D, anti-codon, and T loops). Lineage: Eukaryota; Metazoa; Chordata; Mammalia; Primates; Galagidae. The record is from Rfam by way of RNAcentral.